CUGAUCGAGACGAUGGGCCAACGCCAGUGCAGCGCGCCCGGUUCCGGGAACACUCUUUCCGGAAACGUCGGAGAAUCAG
Molecule: non-coding RNA, 79 nt
Filed under: unclassified sequences
Source: RNAcentral